RNAcentral lists this ribosomal RNA (800 nucleotides) under Rhodococcus sp. (in: high G+C Gram-positive bacteria). RNAcentral's name for it is "bacterial SSU rRNA". It matches the Rfam family "Bacterial small subunit ribosomal RNA", at positions 53 to 868 of the family's 1533-position model. Lineage: Bacteria; Bacillati; Actinomycetota; Actinomycetes; Mycobacteriales; Nocardiaceae. The record is from RNAcentral.
ACCAUGCAAGUCGAGCGGUAAGGCCUUUCGGGGUACACGAGCGGCGAACGGGUGAGUAACACGUGGGUGAUCUGCCCUGCACUUCGGGAUAAGCCUGGGAAACUGGGUCUAAUACCGGAUAUGACCUCCUAUCGCAUGGUGGGUGGUGGAAAGAUUUAUCGGUGCAGGAUGGGCCCGCGGCCUAUCAGCUUGUUGGUGGGGUAAUGGCCUACCAAGGCGACGACGGGUAGCCGACCUGAGAGGGUGACCGGCCACACUGGGACUGAGACACGGCCCAGACUCCUACGGGAGGCAGCAGUGGGGAAUAUUGCACAAUGGGCGAAAGCCUGAUGCAGCGACGCCGCGUGAGGGAUGACGGCCUUCGGGUUGUAAACCUCUUUCAGCAGGGACGAAGCGCAAGUGACGGUACCUGCAGAAGAAGCACCGGCUAACUACGUGCCAGCAGCCGCGGUAAUACGUAGGGUGCAAGCGUUGUCCGGAAUUACUGGGCGUAAAGAGUUCGUAGGCGGUUUGUCGCGUCGUUUGUGAAAACCAGCAGCUCAACUGCUGGCUUGCAGGCGAUACGGGCAGACUUGAGUACUGCAGGGGAGACUGGAAUUCCUGGUGUAGCGGUGAAAUGCGCAGAUAUCAGGAGGAACACCGGUGGCGAAGGCGGGUCUCUGGGCAGUAACUGACGCUGAGGAACGAAAGCGUGGGUAGCGAACAGGAUUAGAUACCCUGGUAGUCCACGCCGUAAACGGUGGGCGCUAGGUGUGGGUUCCUUCCACGGAAUCCGUGCCGUAGCUAACGCAUUAAGCGCC